RNAcentral lists this small nuclear RNA (23 nucleotides) under Arabidopsis thaliana (thale cress). Its description in RNAcentral is "snRNA_12795". The record is from RNAcentral. Lineage: Eukaryota; Viridiplantae; Streptophyta; Magnoliopsida; Brassicales; Brassicaceae.
AUUCCGUCCAAGGCUAAAUACGG